AGAGUUUGAUCCUGGCUCAGAUUGAACGCUGGCGGCAUGCCUAACACAUGCAAGUCGCACGCGAAAGGGGGCAACCCCGAGUAGAGUGGCGGACGGGUGCGUAAUACGCAGGAAUCUACCCACGAGUGGGGGACAACCCGGGGAAACCCGGGCUAAUACCGCAUGAGACCUACGGGUGAAAGCGGGGGAUCGCAAGACCUCGCGCUGGUGGAUGAGCCUGCGUCCGAUUAGCUAGUUGGUAGGGUAAAAGCCUACCAAGGCAACGAUCGGUAGCUGGUCUGAGAGGAUGACCAGCCACACUGGGACUGAGACACGGCCCAGACUCCUACGGGAGGCAGCAGUGGGGAAUAUUGGACAAUGGGGGCAACCCUGAUCCAGCAAUGCCGCGUGUGUGAAGAAGGCCUUCGGGUUGUAAAGCACUUUCGAUGGGGACAAACGUGUCGGGCUUAAUACGUCCGGCCUUGAUGGUACCUAGAGAAGAAGCACCGGCUAACUCUGUGCCAGCAGCCGCGGUAAUACAGAGGGUGCAAGCGUUAAUCGGAAUUACUGGGCGUAAAGCGUGCGUAGGUGGUUGGAUAAGUCAGGUGUGAAAUCCCCGAGCUUAACUUGGGAAUUGCGCUUGAUACUGUCCGGCUAGAGUGUGGUAGAGGGUAGUGGAAUUCCGCAUGUAGCGGUGAAAUGCGUAGAUAUGCGGAGGAACAUCAGUGGCGAAGGCGGCUACCUGGACCAACACUGACACUGAGGCACGAAAGCGUGGGUAGCAAACAGGAUUAGAUACCCUGGUAGUCG
This 789-nucleotide ribosomal RNA is filed under the name uncultured bacterium. RNAcentral's name for it is "bacterial SSU rRNA". It matches the Rfam family "Bacterial small subunit ribosomal RNA", at positions 8 to 796 of the family's 1533-position model. The record is from RNAcentral.